GGAAUAUAGCUCAGUUGGUAGAGUGUUUGCCCCACAUGCACAAGGCCCUGGGUUCAAUUCUCAGCACCA
This 69-nucleotide transfer RNA is filed under the name Marmota monax (woodchuck). RNAcentral describes it as "tRNA.Val". The stretch from base 7 to 64 matches the Rfam family "tRNA", at positions 8 to 63 of the family's 71-position model. From Rfam's summary of the family: Transfer RNA (tRNA) molecules are approximately 80 nucleotides in length. Their secondary structure includes four short double-helical elements and three loops (D, anti-codon, and T loops). Lineage: Eukaryota; Metazoa; Chordata; Mammalia; Rodentia; Sciuridae. The record is from RNAcentral.